This 495-nucleotide long non-coding RNA is filed under the name Anser brachyrhynchus (Pink-footed goose). RNAcentral describes it as "lncRNA (ENSABRG00000015719.1)". Lineage: Eukaryota; Metazoa; Chordata; Aves; Anseriformes; Anatidae. The record is from RNAcentral.
CCAGGUUUCAGGCGGGUUAGAUGCUUGCCCCACACGCCAACCCCUAAGCAGAGAGACUGGAGUAUGCUACCGUGGAGUUAAAGUCUAACUCCUCUGCAGCACGGUGAGGUUCCAGAAUCACUCUCCUUGCAGUCAUAAAGCUAGGAAGUGCAAUGACCAGGCAUGUGGUCCUGACCUCAGACUGAGGAUCCUUGGCCUAGAGUCAAGCAGUUGCUGUAGUCACCGAAACAGCCAAAUUAACUGUCUGCUUAGCCAUGGAUUAAAAUUCAUCCACUGAUCCAAGACAACAGUUUUGACUAGCUGCUUCCAGGGAAAAGAGAGAAAUCCAAAUGACCCAAACGAAGGUUUCUCUGUAGAGGUAUAUACCCUUCCUGCAAAUCACUUUAAAAUGGCUUUCUACUUUCUGGUUUUCUAAAGCCAUCUUCAGAAAGCAGCAUGAAAGACAUCCCAGGACUUGGCUUGCCUCUCCCCCUUUUAACUAAGCUUAACAGUGCA